Molecule: RNA transcript, 6214 nt
Organism: Solenopsis invicta (red fire ant)
Lineage: Eukaryota; Metazoa; Arthropoda; Insecta; Hymenoptera; Formicidae
Gene: TBC1D16
Gene name: TBC1 domain family member 16
Exons: 7
Source: RefSeq, a predicted model, not a curated record
GUUCGUCGUCGACGACUCUGAAGCGAAUCUGUGGACAUGCACACUAAAAUCCGAUUUUGCUUCUUGCCCGAUUAUGUUCACCCUCCGUUCUAAAGUCUCCGCCAAUUGGCACCAUUCGCAACGUCGAUGUAGCUCGCAAUUUCAGAUUUUUGUAGACGACAGCCUACGUAUCGUACCUGAAUCUCUCGUAAUAGAGAUAAAAAAAUCUAACGACGUAUCUCGCGGUGGAAACUGACGAGGAUAAAUAAUAACGAACGGCGACAAUGCCACUCCCAAAUAUUUUGAGAAAAGCAAGCAGCUAUAUCCUAGGCGAUUGCGGCCAGGAUAACCGACGCGUCAUUUAUCAGGACGGUGAGGCAUUAUUCUGCAAAAACAACGUCUGCGUGCAUCCUCCUACGUUAAUGAGACAACACGCCGACGUGGUGCAUCAUCCUGGAUACAUGACUGUAACUUGCAAGUUGAACAAAAAUUCCAAUUUGCCGACCCUGCACCUAAGUUGGAUACCCAACAGUACGUUACGCAAGCAUCCUACCACCUUGGAAAAUCUGAAUGCCAGGAGCGACAGGAGCGGUAGUGCAACGGCAAGCGUGAUACAACGACAGGGCAGCGGCGGCUCCCCUCGUUCGCGAAUUUCCGCCGCGGAAAAGGCACGCGAGGAGGGAGGUGUUUUCGAUUCGCUCAACGUGAGACCACCUGAGCUCGAGAACGAGAAUGAAAAUGAAAAUGAAAAUGAAAAUGAUAUCGAGAAUGAUAACGGAAAUGAGAAAUUAGAUGUGUGCUUGGAGGCAAAGGAGCCCGUCAACUGCGGGGACUGCGAACGCGUCUGUUCCGGUUCUGGCAAUCGUUACGGCUAUGACUUUCCGUGUCAUUCGAGUGCAGAUCCCGCCGCCGCCACCACCACCACCACCACCACCACCACCACCACCACCACCACCACCACCAUCACCACCACCACCACCACCACCACCACCACCACCACCACCACCACCACUGCCGCUGCCGCGAUCGACCACGAGAACCACGAGGAAAAUGCGAGCAAAACUACCGAGAAGGUGGAUUCGAUAGAGUCGAGCAACGAAAAAAUCGGCGAUUCGAUAGUGCGAGGAGACUUUAACGACUCAAUCGAGCCACGCUUCUCGUUCCGCGACGACGACGUGAGCGUCAAGAGUCGCAGCUUGUCGUUAACGUCGACGUGCAGUCUAUCCAUCUCGGUACCUACCGACGCGGAGGAAAUACCAUCGUGGAUGAGGUCUCCCGAACUUCUAGCGCUGCAACACAAUCUCGUCUUUCCCGAGAGCGCGACCGCGUCGCCCGUGACGCUGCGUAGAGCACAUCGAUGCAGAAGAUUCUCGGUCGACCUCGGCGAGAUGCGAUCGUUGAGGCUAUUUUUCGCCGAUCCCGCUUGCACCUGCGGUCAGUUGGUCGUGGCGAGCAGAGAGAGCCAAUACAAGAUUUUACAUUUUCAUCACGGCGGCUUGGACCGGCUAGCCGCCACUCUACAUCAAUGGCAUCAAUUGCUUUAUCCGCGCUUAAACACGGAUACGGAAGAGACUCUACCCUAUAGGCAUUUUAUGGUAUGCCGCCCGGAAGUAAGCCGAGACGAGCUGCAUCCCGAGGAGGGCCAAGUGCCGAUGAUCACGUCGUUGGCUUGGAAAGAUUUAUUGAAUGAACGAGGCCAAGUGGAGGAUGAUCUUGCUCUUCGUAAGGGAAUAUUUUUCGGAGGUUUAGAACCAGCGCUACGAAAAAUCGUUUGGCCCUUUCUAUUGCACUGUUACUCUUAUCAAAGCACGUACGAGGAUAGAGAACAAAUCGAUGCCAUUAGGCGGCAAGAGUACGAAGAGAUACAGAAACGUAGACUGAGCAUGAAUCCGGAGCAAGCCGAGCGUUUCUGGCGAAACGUGGUGUGCAUAGUAGAAAAGGAUGUUGUCCGCACGGAUAGGGCUAAUCCGUAUUACGCCGGUGAGGGUAAUCCCAACGUCGAAGUGAUGAAAAAUAUUUUACUCAACUACGCGGUAUACAAUUGUCGCUUGGGUUACACUCAAGGAAUGUCCGAUCUCUUAGCUCCGUUACUAGCCGAACUCAACUCUGAAAUUGAGGCCUUCUGGUGUUUCGCGGGUUUGAUGCAAAGAUCGGUAGCCGUGUGCACUCCGACCGAUACAGAUAUGGACAGAAAUCUGUGCUAUCUUCGAGAGCUAGUCAGAAUUAUGGUACCAGACUUUUAUGCGCAUCUUCAAAAGCAUGCGGAUGCCUCGGAGCUUCUGUUUUGUCAUCGAUGGAUACUCUUAUGUUUGAAAAGAGAAUUUCCAACCGAAAUAGCGUUGGUCAUGUGGGAAGCCUGCUGGGUCAAUUAUUUAACAGAUCACUUUCACUUGUUUCUUUGUCUCGCUAUUAUGUGCGUUUACGCGGACGACGUUAUCGCUCAAGAUCUCCGAACGGAUGAAAUGUUGUUGCAUUUCAGUUCAUUGGCCAUGUAUAUGGACGGGAACGUUAUACUCCGAAAGGCGCGAGGCCUGCUUCAUCAUUUCCGUCAGCUUGUGCGCUUACCUUGCACAUUAGCUGGAUUGUGCCGACAAUGUGGUCCAGGAAUGUGGGACAGCGCGCACGAUCCUGUAAUAGAAUGCGUGGAUCACGAAGAUACGCAAUGUCCCUAUUUAAAUAAUUACGAGUAACUCUAAUUUAUUGAAAGAAAGGAAAGAGCUCAUCAGUAUUACUAGAACGUAUGAUAAUUAACUCGUUUCGUCGAUUUAGAUUAGAUUGAACGACUUCUUGUUCUCUCUCUCUCUCUCUCUCUCUCUCUCUCUCUCUCUCUCUCUCUCUCUCUCUCUCUCUCUCUCUUUCUUUCUCUCAGUCUGUCGAUAUGACACGGACUGCUUGAUACGAAUUACGGACAGACUGACGGACACCUAACCGGUACGAAGCUCUGCGUCUACGUGGAAGAGAGAGAGAGAGAGAGAGUUUCAAAAUCGAUAUGCGCUGUCUCAUCGUUCGGUCUUGUCGCGAAACCGGCUAACACGUGACCGCGCGCGCGCGCGGUCACGACGGACGGAUGAAAAAAAACGGAAAUUGUUUCGCCGAUCGAUCGUCAAAUCGACGACAUUUUCCAUACGCGUGUUUAACACUCGUACGCUUCCGAUGAUUCAUCCACGAGAUGAGCGCGUGCGGCUCGUGCGGCGAACGGGAGGGGCUGUGUUAGCCAGGAACGCCCGAUUACACUCGAAUCAUUUAAAUAUAACGGUUUCGUGGUUGCACGAUCGACAUAACAAUACGAUUAUACUAUGUAUUAAUUUAAUCCAUUUUCAGUUAACUCAAUUGGCGAUACGAAUCAACGUGAUCUUGUCUGCAUGAUAUCUCAAUUACACAUGGUUGGUGGGAUGUGUGCUUUUCUUGGAAUAAAAUAAUUAACCCCGUUACGUUUGCUUGUCCUAAAGACCCAAUGACCCAAUGAUAUCUCGACCUUGUCCACCGUAUAAGGCAUAAGGUCUCGCGCCGCAAGGUCUCGCGCGUCGAAAGAGCAGGACUCGCGCGCGUAAGGAGGCUCGGAGCGGAGUUAUCACCGCGUGAUUGAUACGACGACGACGACGACGACUCACGUUCGAGACACGUCAUUUUCCCUUAGUAAACUCAUGAAUCAACAAUUCAAGUUUAAACUUGAAAUUGAGUUGAAUUGUUGGAUGCGAUAGUUUGCGAUUUAUCGCAACCAAGAAUUGUAGAAAAAAUAGAGAGACUUUUUAAUUGUUACAUGACACACGUAAAGGAAAGUGGACGAUAGGACUGCAACGACGCGACGCGGCGACGACGACGACGACGGCGACGGUCGGUGUUGGGUCAUGUCGUCGAUUCACCGGCAUCGUAUCUAUAUACAAUUGAGACGUACGGUGUCACCGUUGCAAUGCGCAAUGCGCAAUGCAUUUUAAAAAUGCACGCGCAUAUAUGUAAACUUGAGAGCUACCCAUGACAAGAGAUAUAUCGAAAGUUUUAUUGCUAAAUAUUCAAUGAUUUACGCACAACAUCAGUUGUACAUACAUUGAUACAUAUAACGUGGCAUAAAAUUUUCACGUGACUGUAUAUUCUCCAACGAUAUAUACAGUCUUACGAGAUACGUCUCUGAUAACAGCUACUGUCGUACACUCGUGUGCCAUGCGAGAAAUAUAAAUUAUAUUCGUUGCUAAAUUAAUUGAGAAAUCAAUCAUUUGCCUUUCGUGAGCCUUAACGUCAUCCUUACGCAUCUAGACUUUAAUGGAAACGAGUAUAAUACGAAUACUGAUACGCAUGCUUGUCAGAGAGAGAGAGAGAGAGAGAGAGAGAGAGAGACGGACGCGAUCGUUGGAACAAAAAUGUGUAUCCCUUCGUUUUUGCAAUAUGACGACCGUCGCGUAGAUUAGUCAUCGUUAGCCUCUUCUUGCGUGUCUCACAUCGCUUAGACAUGAUCGCGUCAUGCGAGUGGAACGUUACGCCGAAAGAGACGUUUUUUCUCUUUCCAAAGAAUCUAUACUUAUCACAAUAAAUAAUCAUUUUGAGAUCAUUUAUAAUACUGAGAUUGGUAAAAAAGUCUCAACUACGGAUCGCGCUAAUUAACGCUUUCUCUUGACAAGCUUAAUAAUUUAAGCUAUCGACAAUGCUCGUGCAAGAAUAUUAAUUUCAAUUAUGUAUUUUAUAAUUCGUAUUUAGUCUAAUCUCUUUCGCGGUACGAAACAAAUGCGCGCUCGAGAGAGAGAGAGAGAGAGAGAGAGAGAGAGAGAGAGAGAGAGAGAGACGAUAAUCGCAUAAUCGCAUAAUAUGCCAUUGGUGACAAGAGAUAAAAACGUUGCAACAACGUACUCUUUACUGGGAAGCACUCUCUUGGAUAUAAUACGUUUGACCAUAUUUGGUCCGUUUUGCCAAUCUAUAUAGAUCGUUAUCUUGUGUUUGAUAUAGCGCUGUAGAGUCUUAACGUAUCAACUUGAAAUUUCGCACGACAUUGAAUUCUUGAAAUUCAAUCUUAUUUACGCGAUUAAGCUAUUUAAAGUAUGGUAAACAAACGAAUAUGCUCUCGCAUACGUUAUCAAGCAUUCGUGUUCUUGACUUCUUUCAGAGAGAGCUGUUGUGAGUGCAAUCAACGAAUUCGCGCGAAACGGUCAAGGAUUCGAAACGCGGUCACGGUAACUCAAUGAACCGUAUGCGUGUAGCCGAAAACGGCAGUAACGGUUUUCUUAUUUUGCCAACUGCUUUUUGUCUCGCAAAACUAGCACGCAAAUUUGCAUCGAUUCAAAGAUUUCAAGUCGAUGCAGUAACGUGUUCUCGAAAUGCGUAUAACGAAAAAGUAGGCCGGAUACUAGAACUUGCGACGGUGCGUAGAAAGGCGAAUGUUCCGGAAAGUGUUUUCCAAACUCUUUCCGGAACGCAGCUAUAAGUUUUAAUUUUAUUAUUUGAUCAAAGUAUUAAAAUUUUUUCAUUACCUGUUCGAAACGAAUCACUUACGUUCGUUUAUCACUUUUGUUCGAGCACGUUUCUGAAACGACUUUGAAACGAGAGAUUGUCUCGAAUGUACUCGAAUGUCCUCUGUAUGCGUAUGUAUUUACAAAUAAUUUUACGCGACUAUUUUAUUUCUCCCCCUAAAAAAAAAAAAAUUAACAAUCACUACGAAUACUACUAUACUUAUAAUAUCCAUUGCACUCUCGCAGAUACGAAAAAGUCGAUUGAUACAAUUUAAAUGGCAACGAAGAAGGUACGCACGGUCCAGAGAAAACGAGAAAACCUGCUCCCGUCGUGACACCUGUCUCCCCGUUAUACCCCGUAUAUACAGGCAUCCGAGCGGAAUGCAAAACGAUGAUGUAAGGCAGCGCGUACGAGUAUUUCAGUGUGCUGUCAGCAUCGCGAUUAUCGUUUUUCGAUUGACUGAGACUCGAGAGUAACUGUGACCGUAAUUAGACAUUAUUACGAUAAAUGUUUUUUUCUUCAUAAAUCUGCAAUAUAAAGAUUCGAAGGCCGCCCUAUCUAAGCUUUAUGGUGUUUGGCAGUCGUGGAGAAAUCGAUGAGAAACGCCUGCAGCGGCCACCACGCCCAAAGCGAGACAAGGCUAUACCCCAUGUAGAGAUUCAUGGAACAAUUCUAUGGCACUGUUACAAAAUUCCAAAAUCUCUACCAUUUAUAGUCUCACUUUGGCCCGUAACGUUUAUGCAAUGAAUUUCAUCUAAACCAAUAAUCUAUUACAAACUCUCGGAAGAACCCUGCUUAA